Gadus morhua (Atlantic cod) is the source of this 219-nucleotide long non-coding RNA. RefSeq lists it as uncharacterized. Lineage: Eukaryota; Metazoa; Chordata; Actinopteri; Gadiformes; Gadidae. The record is from RefSeq and is a predicted model, not a curated record. The transcript has 3 exons.
CAACUUCAAAAACGUACUUCAUGGCAUCCUUUUUGAUCAGAUUUUUGAUCGUCAGGUCACCUGGUAUCAAAAGCGGGAAAACAAAAUCAAACAGCACAUCAAGGAUAUAUUGGUACAGGGAAAAGAGGCAAACUGGAAUUAAUAUAUUCCGACAGCUACGACGGGGGGUACUGUGAUGACAUCUGCCGUCCAAAAUCAUAAAUGGCAUUCCCCACCCCC